UUUAAGAUUUUAAUUUAAAGUUUAAUNUGCCCAAUGAAUUUUUAAAUGGCUGCAGAAUUUUAUACUGUACAAAGGUAGCAUAAUAAUUUGUUUUUUAAUUAAAAACUAGAAUGAAAGAUUAAAUGAAAUAUAAACUGUUUCAAUCAAAUAAAUAUUAAAAUUUUUAUUUAAGUAAAAAAACUUAAAUUUUAUUUAAAGACGACAAGACCCUAUAGAAUUUUAUUUAUUAAAUUUUAAUUAAAAUUUAAUAAAUUUUUUUGGGGUAAAAAAAAAAUUAAAAUAAUUUUUUUUUAAAAAAACAUUUAUUUAUGAAAAAUAUAUCUUAAAAUUUAAAUUUUAAAAAUUAAUUACCUUAGGGAUAACAGCAUAAUUUUUUUUAAAANAUCUUAUUUAUAAAAAA
Molecule: ribosomal RNA, 400 nt
Filed under: Nesaulax sp.
Lineage: Eukaryota; Metazoa; Arthropoda; Insecta; Hymenoptera; Braconidae
Description: partial 16S ribosomal RNA
Source: RNAcentral